This 1307-nucleotide ribosomal RNA is filed under the name uncultured bacterium. Its description in RNAcentral is "bacterial SSU rRNA". It matches the Rfam family "Bacterial small subunit ribosomal RNA", at positions 28 to 1381 of the family's 1533-position model. The record is from RNAcentral.
AACGUACGCUGGCGGCACGCCUAACACAUGCAAGUCGAACGAAGUAGCAAUACUUAGUGGCAGACGGGUGAGUAACAUGUAGGUAUCUGCCCUUUGGCCUGGAAUAACACGAGGAAACUUGUGCUAAUACCGGAUAAGUCUUUACGGAGAAAGCUUUAUGCACCAUUGGAUGAGCCUGCACUUGAUUAGUUUGUUGGUGGGGUAAUGGCCUACCAAGACUGUGAUCAAUAGCUGAUUUGAGAGGAUGAUCAGCCACAUUGGGACUGAGACACGGCCCAAACUCCUACGGGAGGCAGCAGUGGGGAAUCUUGCACAAUGGAGGAAACUCUGAUGCAGCGAUGCCGCGUGAGUGAAGAAGGCCCUUGGGUUGUAAAGCUCUUUCGUCGGGGAAGAAAAUGACUGUACCCGAAUAAGAAGGUCCGGCUAACUUCGUGCCAGCAGCCGCGGUAAUACGAAGGGACCUAGCGUAGUUCGGAAUUACUGGGCUUAAAGAGUUCGUAGGUGGUUGAAAAAGUUAGUGGUGAAAUCCCAGAGCUUAACUCUGGAACUGCCAUUAAAACUUUUCAGCUAGAGUAUGAUAGAGGAAAGCAGAAUUUCUAGUGUAGAGGUGAAAUUCGUAGAUAUUAGAAAGAAUACCAAUUGCGAAGGCAGCUUUCUGGAUCAUUACUGACACUGAGGAACGAAAGCAUGGGUAGCGAAGAGGAUUAGAUACCCUCGUAGUCCAUGCCGUAAACGAUGUGUGUUAGACGUUGGAAAUUUAUUUUCAGUGUCGCAGGGAAACCGAUAAACACACCGCCUGGGGAGUACGACCGCAAGGUUAAAACUCAAAUGAAUUGACGGGGACCCGCACAAGUAGUGGAGCAUGUGGUUUAAUUCGAAGAUACGCGCAGAACCUUACCAACACUUGACAUGUUCGUCGCGACUCUAAGAGAUUAGAGUUUUCGGUUCGGCCGGACGAAACACAGGUGCUGCAUGGCUGUCGUCAGCUCGUGUCGUGAGAUGUUGGGUUAAGUCCCGCAACGAGCGCAACCCUCACUUUUAGUUGCCAUCAUUAAGUUGGGCACUCUGAAAGAACUGCCAGUGAUAAGCUGGAGGAAGGUGGGGAUGACGUCAAGUCCUCAUGGCCCUUACGUGUUGGGCUACACACGUGCUACAAUGGUAUCUACAACAGGAAGCAAGACUGCGAAGUUAAGCAAAUCCCUAAAAGAUACCUCAGUUCGGAUUGCACUCUGCAACUCGAGUGCAUGAAGCUGGAAUUACUAGUAAUCGUGAAUCAGCGUGCCACGGUGAAAUGCGUUCCCGGGUCU